CCAACCAUGGACAGGGCUUUACCAGCCAUCCCUUGUACCCCCAAUUGCAGCUACCCAACCAUAAACCAACAUGCAGCACCACGCGAGCAAAUUCAGGGACGCGAGACUACAAGAACAGCCCACUUGCCUGGAUCCUUCGUCAAUGGAAGGAAAAGGAGGCGUCGGGCGGCUAGGCUUCACAGCCAGCGUCGAAGCUUUGAUCAUAACUGAGCAGCAACGAUUCUGCUAUUAGAUGAAGGCGCUGGUCAUGAGGGGCUGCGAUGGGUUGGGCUCUGUGGAGACGAACAAAAGUAAGAGGAGAGGAAAGCGGUGUGUCUUGGUAGAGAAAACGCAGAAGAGGGUGGGUUCUUCGCAAAAGAGAGAGAGAGAGAGAGAAAAGAAAACGGAAUACGUGUAGCCUCCC
This 403-nucleotide long non-coding RNA is filed under the name Eucalyptus grandis. RNAcentral describes it as "long non-coding RNA (EGRA_LNC007601)". The record is from RNAcentral. Lineage: Eukaryota; Viridiplantae; Streptophyta; Magnoliopsida; Myrtales; Myrtaceae.